This is a small nuclear RNA of Pipistrellus kuhlii (Kuhl's pipistrelle), 103 nucleotides long. The record is from RefSeq and is a predicted model, not a curated record. NCBI's taxonomy places the organism in Eukaryota, Metazoa, Chordata, Mammalia, Chiroptera, Vespertilionidae.
GUGCCCGCGUGGGCAGCACGUACACUAAGACUGGAGCACACAGAGCCUGGCAUGGCCCCUGCCCAAGGAAGACACCCAAAUUCGUGAAGUGUUCCAUAUUUUU